GUGCUAUUCCUAGAGAUAGGAAGGUUCCUUCGGGACACGGGAUACAGGUGGUGCAUGGUUGUCGUCAGCUCGUGUCGUGAGAUGUUGGGUUAAGUCCGCAACGAGCGCAACCCCUAUUGUUAGUUGCCAUCAUUAAGUUGGGCACUCUAACGAGACUGCCGGUGAUAAACCGGAGGAAGGUGGGGAUGACGUCAAAUCAUCAUGCCCCUUAUGACCUGGGCUACACACGUGCUACAAUGGAUGGUACAACGAGUCGCGAGACAGUGAUGUUUAGCUAAUCUCUUAAAACCAUUCUCAGUUCGGAUUGUAGGCUGCAACUCGCCUACAUGAAGUCGGAAUCGCUAGUAAUCGCGGAUCAGCACGCCGCGGUGAAUACGUUCCCGGGCCUUGUACACACCGCCCGUCACACCACGGGAGUUGGGAGUACCCGAAGUAGGUUGCCUAACCGCAAGGAGGGCGCUUCCUAAGGUAAGACCGAUGACUGGGGUGAAGUCGUAACAAGGUAGGCGUAGCGAG
RNAcentral lists this ribosomal RNA (516 nucleotides) under uncultured bacterium. Its description in RNAcentral is "bacterial SSU rRNA". It matches the Rfam family "Bacterial small subunit ribosomal RNA", at positions 992 to 1509 of the family's 1533-position model. The record is from RNAcentral.